GCAGAGGGUAAAGCGUCUGCCUGUAAUGCAGGAGACCCAGGUUCAAUCCCUGG
This 53-nucleotide transfer RNA is filed under the name Bos taurus (domestic cattle). It matches the Rfam family "tRNA", at positions 10 to 63 of the family's 71-position model. Rfam says of the family: Transfer RNA (tRNA) molecules are approximately 80 nucleotides in length. Their secondary structure includes four short double-helical elements and three loops (D, anti-codon, and T loops). Further hydrogen bonds mediate the characteristic L-shaped molecular structure. tRNAs have two regions of fundamental functional importance: the anti-codon, which is responsible for specific mRNA codon recognition, and the 3' end, to which the tRNAs corresponding amino acid is attached (by aminoacyl-tRNA synthetases). tRNAs cope with the degeneracy of the genetic code in two manners: having more than one tRNA (with a specific anti-codon) for a particular amino acid; and 'wobble' base-pairing, i.e. permitting non-standard base-pairing at the 3rd anti-codon position. Lineage: Eukaryota; Metazoa; Chordata; Mammalia; Artiodactyla; Bovidae. The record is from Rfam by way of RNAcentral. RNAcentral also lists the same sequence under 1 other name.